This 495-nucleotide ribosomal RNA is filed under the name uncultured bacterium. RNAcentral's name for it is "bacterial SSU rRNA". It matches the Rfam family "Bacterial small subunit ribosomal RNA", at positions 28 to 518 of the family's 1533-position model. The record is from RNAcentral.
GAUGAACGCUAGCGACAGGCCUAACACAUGCAAGUCGAGGGGCAGCACAAGGAGCAAUCUGAGGUGGCGACCGGCGCACGGGUGAGUAACACGUAUGCAACCUACCUGUAAGAGGGGAAUAACCCGUUGAAAAACGGACUAAUACCGCAUAACACUGUAGAACCGCAUGGUUUGACAGUUAAACAUUUAUGGCUUACAGAUGGGCAUGCGCAUGAUUAGCUAGUUGGUGAGGUAACGGCUCACCAAGGCAACGAUCAUUAGGGGUUCUGAGAGGAAGGUCCCCCACACUGGUACUGAGACACGGACCAGACUCCUACGGGAGGCAGCAGUGAGGAAUAUUGGUCAAUGGGCGAGAGCCUGAACCAGCCAAGUCGCGUGAAGGAAGAAGGUUCUAUGGAUUGUAAACUUCUUUUGCAGGGGAAUAAAUGACGGUACGUGUACUGUUUUGUAUGUACCUUGCGAAUAAGGAUCGGCUAACUCCGUGCCAGCAGCCGC